RNAcentral lists this ribosomal RNA (430 nucleotides) under uncultured bacterium. RNAcentral's name for it is "bacterial SSU rRNA". It matches the Rfam family "Bacterial small subunit ribosomal RNA", at positions 354 to 776 of the family's 1533-position model. The record is from RNAcentral.
GUGGGGAAUUUUGGACAAUGGGGGAAACCCUGAUCCAGCCAUUCCGCGUGAGUGAAGAAGGCCUUCGGGUUGUAAAGCUCUUUCAGCAGGAACGAAACGGUCGGCUUUAAUAAAGUCGGCUAAUGACGGUACCUGCAGAAGAAGCACCGGCUAACUACGUGCCAGCAGCCGCGGUAAUACGUAGGGUGCGAGCGUUAAUCGGAAUUACUGGGCGUAAAGCGUGCGCAGGCGGCGACAUAAGACAGAUGUGAAAUCCCCGGGCUCAACCUGGGAACUGCGUUUGUGACUGUGUUGCUAGAGUGUAGCAGAGGGGGGUGGAAUUCCACGUGUAGCAGUGAAAUGCGUAGAGAUGUGGAGGAACACCGAUGGCGAAGGCAGCCCCCUGGGUUAACACUGACGCUCAUGCACGAAAGCGUGGGGAGCAAACAGG